RNAcentral lists this long non-coding RNA (444 nucleotides) under Physcomitrium patens. Its description in RNAcentral is "long non-coding RNA (PPAT_LNC013468)". Lineage: Eukaryota; Viridiplantae; Streptophyta; Bryopsida; Funariales; Funariaceae. The record is from RNAcentral.
AGAGUUUGGUUUGGGAUUUAGGAUUUAGUUAAGAUUUGGUUUAUGAUUUAAGAUUUGCUUAUGAUUUGAUUUAGGAUUUAGAAUUAGAUUAGGAUUUGAUUUUAGAUUUAGGGUAUGGUUAGAAUUUGGUUAGGAUUUGAUUUAAGAUUCAGGAUUUGAUUAAGAUUUGGUUUAGAAUUUAGGAUUUGGUUAGAAUUUAUUUAGGAUUUGAUUUAGUGUUUAGGAUUUAAUUAGGAUUUGAUUUUGAGUUUAAGAUUUGUUUAAGGUUUGAUUGAAGUCUAUUAGAAUUUCAACUAAGAUUAAAUUAGCACUUAAUUGAAAUUUAUUUAAGAUAUAUUGUGAUUAUUUUAAUUUUUUUUUAGAGAUUCUUAAGGAUUCUUUUGAGUUUUAUUGUAGAUUAUCUUUCAACUUCUUUAAGAUUUCUUAUUAUUUAUUUUUUAAAUU